Molecule: long non-coding RNA, 362 nt
Filed under: Vigna radiata
Lineage: Eukaryota; Viridiplantae; Streptophyta; Magnoliopsida; Fabales; Fabaceae
Description: long non-coding RNA (VRAD_LNC001868)
Source: RNAcentral
UUCCUUAUCAGUGAUACAAAAGUACACUAAAUUUGUAGAAAAUUACUAAAAUUGAAAAGUAUUAUUAUUCAAACACAAACUUGUUUUACAUCUUAACUAAUACAAUUAUUUCUACCUCAACAAAGAGAAACUCCAAGCCAAACUUCAUGCACUUUGUAUAUUAUUCCUUACUAUUAACCGCCGCAUCCAGCGCCACAUCCAACACCACAUCCANCGGCNUGAGUNUUACUACCCUUGGUACUUUUGUUGUCGUCUCCACAAGCAAAUAUGAUGAUUGAAAUGAUAGAAAGAGAAGCAAUAAUCAUGAGAAACAAAAAUAUGGGUGCAGAAUUAAGCACCAAACCUUCUUCACCUCCAUUUCG